GUGCCAGCAGCCGCGGUAAUACGGAGGGUGCGAGCGUUGUUCGGAAUUAUUGGGCGUAAAGCGCACGUAGGCGGCCCGUUAAGUCUCAUGGUGAAAGGCCGGGGCUCAACCCCGAGCAUGCCGGGGAUACUGGGGGGCUGGAGACAGGUAGAGGCCAGCGGAAUUCCGGGUGUAGCGGUGGAAUGCGUAGAGAUCCGGAAGAACACCGGAGGCGAAGGCGGCUGGCUGGACCUGAUCUGACGCUGAGGUGCGAAAGCGUGGGGAGCGAACAGGAUUAGAUACCCUGGUAGUCCACGCCGUAAACGAUGGAGACUAGAUGCCGGUGGGAUCGACCCCUUCGGUGUCGGAGCUAACGCGUUAAGUCUCCCGCCUGGGGAGUACGGCCGCAAGGCUGAA
RNAcentral lists this ribosomal RNA (396 nucleotides) under uncultured bacterium. Its description in RNAcentral is "bacterial SSU rRNA". It matches the Rfam family "Bacterial small subunit ribosomal RNA", at positions 505 to 898 of the family's 1533-position model. The record is from RNAcentral.